This 497-nucleotide ribosomal RNA is filed under the name uncultured bacterium. Its description in RNAcentral is "partial 16S ribosomal RNA". It matches the Rfam family "Bacterial small subunit ribosomal RNA", at positions 28 to 507 of the family's 1533-position model. The record is from RNAcentral.
GAUGAACGCUGGCGGCGUGCCUAAUACAUGCAAGUCGAGCGAACAGACGAGGAGCUUGCUCCUCUGACGUUAGCGGCGGACGGGUGAGUAACACGUGGAUAACCUACCUAUAAGGCUGGGAUAACUUCGGGAAACCGGAGCUAAUACCGGAUAAUAUAUUGAACCGCAUGGUUCAAUAGUGAAAGACGGUUUUGCUGUCACUUAUAGAUGGAUCCGCGCCGCAUUAGCUAGUUGGUAAGGUAACGGCUUACCAAGGCAACGAUGCGUAGCCGACCUGAGAGGGUGAUCGGCCACACUGGACCUGAGACACGGUCCAGACUCCUACGGGAGGCAGCAGUAGGGAAUCUUCCGCAAUGGGCGAAAGCCUGACGGAGCAACGCCGCGUGAGUGAUGAAGGUCUUCGGAUCGUAAAACUCUGUUAUUAGGGAAGAACAAAUGUGUAAGUAACUAUGCACGUCUUGACGGUACCUAAUCAGAAAGCCACGGCUAACUACGUG